CCUACGGGUGGCAGCAGUGAGGAAUAUUGGUCAAUGGACGAGAGUCUGAACCAGCCAAGUAGCGUGAAGGAUGACUGCUCUAUGGGUUGUAAACUUCUUUUAUAUGGGAAUAAAACGUUCCACGUGUGGGAUUUUGUAUGUACCAUAUGAAUAAGGAUCGGCUAACUCCGUGCCAGCAGCCGCGGUAAUACGGAGGAUCCGAGCGUUAUCCGGAUUUAUUGGGUUUAAAGGGUGCGUAGGUGGAUUGUUAAGUAAGUUGUGAAAGUUUGCGGCUAAACCGUAAGAUUGCAGUUGAAACUGGCAGUCUUGAGUACAGUAGAGGCGGGCGGAAUGCGUGGUGUAGCGGUGAAAUGCUUAGAUAUCACGAAGAACUCCGAUUGCGAAGGCAGUUCACUGGACUGCAACUGACACUGAGGCUCGAAAGUGUGGGUAUCAAACAGGAUUAGAUACCCCAGUAGUC
RNAcentral lists this ribosomal RNA (460 nucleotides) under uncultured bacterium. Its description in RNAcentral is "partial 16S ribosomal RNA". It matches the Rfam family "Bacterial small subunit ribosomal RNA", at positions 338 to 795 of the family's 1533-position model. The record is from RNAcentral.